Molecule: long non-coding RNA, 320 nt
Filed under: Mytilus galloprovincialis (Mediterranean mussel)
Lineage: Eukaryota; Metazoa; Mollusca; Bivalvia; Mytilida; Mytilidae
Source: RNAcentral
CAAUAAUAAGGAGAAAAUGAAGUACGUACAACAGAAAAAUAAUGUUUGAUCUUGGAUUAAUUGUUUGUAAAACAGAGAGAUUGAAGAUGAGGAGACUGCAACGUAAGUUGAUUAUUAUAAAUAUGUCUAGAUAGGAAGCUAUGUGUAAAUUGGAUGAAGGUCCACAUCGUUUUUUUUCUGUUAUUAAAUAUACCUAUAGCAGCCCUGUAUUCCUGGACGCAGUUAUCCAUUACAUGAAUAAACUGUUACAGGAAUUAGGAGAGGACUGCUGUAGGAGAACAUUACAAAACUGACACACAUAUCAUCAUUAUCAUCACCAC